AGAGUUUGAUCAUGGCUCAGGAUGAACGCUAGCGACAGGCCUAACACAUGCAAGUCGAGGGGCAGCGGAGAGGUAGCAAUACCUUUGCCGGCGACCGGCGCACGGGUGAGUAACACGUAUGCAAUUCACCUGCAACAGGGGGAUAACCCGGAGAAAUCCGGACUAAUACCCCAUAAUAUGGGCGCUCCGCAUGGAGAGCCCAUUAAAGAGAGCAAUUUUGGUUACAGACGAGCAUGCGCU
Molecule: ribosomal RNA, 240 nt
Filed under: uncultured bacterium
Lineage: Bacteria
Description: partial 16S ribosomal RNA
Rfam family: Bacterial small subunit ribosomal RNA
Source: RNAcentral